GUCCACGCCGUAAACGAUGGAUACUAGCUGUUGGGUUGCAAGACUCAGUGGCUAAGCGAAAGUGAUAAGUAUCCCACCUGGGGAGUACGUUCGCAAGAAUGAAACUCAAAGGAAUUGACGGGGGCCCGCACAAGCGGUGGAGCAUGUGGUUUAAUUCGAUGAUACGCGAGGAACCUUACCAAGGCUUAAAUGUAGAUUGACCGGUUUGGAAACAGAUCUUUCGCAAGACAAUUUACAAGGUGCUGCAUGGUUGUCGU
RNAcentral lists this ribosomal RNA (257 nucleotides) under uncultured bacterium. RNAcentral describes it as "partial 16S ribosomal RNA". It matches the Rfam family "Bacterial small subunit ribosomal RNA", at positions 793 to 1055 of the family's 1533-position model. The record is from RNAcentral.